ACUGGAGUUUGAUCCUGGCUCAGGAUGAACGCUAGCGGCAGGCUUAACACAUGCAAGUCGAGGGGUAAGGUAGCAAUAUCUGAGACCGGCGCACGGGUGCGUAACGCGUAUGCAAUCUACCUUUUACAGAGGGAUAGCCCAGAGAAAUUUGGAUUAAUACCUCAUAGCAUAGCAGCUUCGCAUGAAGUCACUAUUAAAGUUCCAACGGUAAAAGAUGAGCAUGCGUCCUAUUAGCUAGAUGGUAAGGUAACGGCUUACCAUGGCUACGAUAGGUAGGGGUCCUGAGAGGG
This 290-nucleotide ribosomal RNA is filed under the name uncultured Flavobacteriaceae bacterium. RNAcentral's name for it is "partial 16S ribosomal RNA". It matches the Rfam family "Bacterial small subunit ribosomal RNA", at positions 1 to 300 of the family's 1533-position model. Lineage: Bacteria; Pseudomonadati; Bacteroidota; Flavobacteriia; Flavobacteriales; Flavobacteriaceae. The record is from RNAcentral.